This 1498-nucleotide ribosomal RNA is filed under the name Limosilactobacillus fermentum. RNAcentral's name for it is "bacterial SSU rRNA". It matches the Rfam family "Bacterial small subunit ribosomal RNA". Lineage: Bacteria; Bacillati; Bacillota; Bacilli; Lactobacillales; Lactobacillaceae. The record is from RNAcentral.
GAUGAACGCCGGCGGUGUGCCUAAUACAUGCAAGUCGAACGCGUUGGCCCAAUUGAUUGAUGGUGCUUGCACCUGAUUGAUUUUGGCCGCCAACGAGUGGCGGACGGGUGAGUAACACGUAGGUAACCUGCCCAGAAGCGGGGGACAACAUUUGGAAACAGAUGCUAAUACCGCGUAACAACGUUGUUCGCAUGAACAACGCUUAAAAGAUGGCUUCUCGCUAUCACUUCUGGAUGGACCUACGGUGCAUUAGCUUGUUGGUGGGGUAAUGGCCUACCAAGGCGAUGAUGCAUAGCCGAGUUGAGAGACUGAUCGGCCACAAUGGGACUGAGACACGGCCCAUACUCCUACGGGAGGCAGCAGUAGGGAAUCUUCCACAAUGGGCGCAAGCCUGAUGGAGCAACACCGCGUGAGUGAAGAAGGGUUUCGGCUCGUAAAGCUCUGUUGUUAAAGAAGAACACGUAUGAGAGUAACUGUUCAUACGUUGACGGUAUUUAACCAGAAAGUCACGGCUAACUACGUGCCAGCAGCCGCGGUAAUACGUAGGUGGCAAGCGUUAUCCGGAUUUAUUGGGCGUAAAGAGAGUGCAGGCGGUUUUCUAAGUCUGAUGUGAAAGCCUUCGGCUUAACCGGAGAAGUGCAUCGGAAACUGGAUAACUUGAGUGCAGAAGAGGGUAGUGGAACUCCAUGUGUAGCGGUGGAAUGCGUAGAUAUAUGGAAGAACACCAGUGGCGAAGGCGGCUAUCUGGUCUGCAACUGACGCUGAGACUCGAAAGCAUGGGUAGCGAACAGGAUUAGAUACCCUGGUAGUCCAUGCCGUAAACGAUGGGUGCUAGGUGUUGGAGGGUUUCCGCCCUUCAGUGCCGGAGCUAACGCAUUAAGCACUCCGCCUGGGGAGUACGACCGCAAGGUUGAAACUCAAAGGAAUUGACGGGGGCCCGCACAAGCGGUGGAGCAUGUGGUUUAAUUCGAAGCUACGCGAAGAACCUUACCAGGUCUUGACAUCUUGCGCCAACCCUAGAGAUAGGGCGUUUCCUUCGGGAACGCAAUGACAGGUGGUGCAUGGUCGUCGUCAGCUCGUGUCGUGAGAUGUUGGGUUAAGUCCCGCAACGAGCGCAACCCUUGUUACUAGUUGCCAGCAUUAAGUUGGGCACUCUAGUGAGACUGCCGGUGACAAACCGGAGGAAGGUGGGGACGACGUCAGAUCAUCAUGCCCCUUACGACCUGGGCUACACACGUGCUACAAUGGACGGUACAACGAGUCGCGAACUCGCGAGGGCAAGCAAAUCUCUUAAAACCGUUCUCAGUUCGGACUGCAGGCUGCAACUCGCCUGCACGAAGUCGGAAUCGCUAGUAAUCGCGGAUCAGCAUGCCGCGGUGAAUACGUUCCCGGGCCUUGUACACACCGCCCGUCACACCAUGAGAGUUUGUAACACCCAAAGUCGGUGGGGUAACCUUUUAGGAGCCAGCCGCCUAAGGUGGGACAGAUGAUUAGGGUG